UCCCGCUCCAGUACUGCAAUUGUGGUGGUCUCCAGAUUGAACUGAAAUCCCAUGAUCCCUUUUUUUUCUCAAUCUAGUACCUAUCACUAACACACUCUCUCUCUCUUGCUAAAUGGUUGAACCUAUACAUUAUAGAGUCACAGACGCAUUGCCAGCCCACUGCAAGAUCAUCUCUCCUCUUCCAUUGGCCAGGUUACAAUGUCACAUGCCUUGGGUUACAGUCUUACAGAUGAUGUCGAGGGGAGAUAUAUUUCAUUGCAACAAGUAUUAGCUUGGCAACAUAUCUUCACGAGGAAUAUGUUAUUAUUUGAGAGAAUAGAUUGGAACUUAAAUUAUGUUAUAUGAUAUUGAACUUCGGUAUUGUUUUUCCUUAUUAGUAGUUAUUGAUUGAGCAGUUAUUAUGCUUAUAUGUGUAUUUGUGAUUGAAAAUUUGUGAUGUAGUAGUUAUUGAUUGAGUAGUUGUUAUGCUUAUAUGUGUAUUUGUGUUUGAAAA
This is a long non-coding RNA of Quercus robur (English oak), 493 nucleotides long. RefSeq lists it as uncharacterized. The record is from RefSeq and is a predicted model, not a curated record. The transcript has 2 exons. Lineage: Eukaryota; Viridiplantae; Streptophyta; Magnoliopsida; Fagales; Fagaceae.